GAUGAACGCUGGCGGCGUGCCUAAUACAUGCAAGUCGAGCGAACAGAUAAGGAGCUUGCUCCUUUGACGUUAGCGGCGGACGGGUGAGUAACACGUGGAUAACCUACCUAUAAGACUGGGAUAACUUCGGGAAACCGGAGCUAAUACCGGAUAACAUAUUGAACCGCAUGGUUCAAUAGUGAAAGGCGGCUUUGCUGUCACUUAUAGAUGGAUCCGCGCCGUAUUAGCUAGUUGGUAAGGUAACGGCUUACCAAGGCAACGAUACGUAGCCGACCUGAGAGGGGGAUCGGCCACACUGGAACUGAGACACGGUCCAGACUCCUACGGGAGGCAGCAGUAGGGAAUCUUCCGCAAUGGGCGAAAGCCUGACGGAGCAACGCCGCGUGAGUGAUGAAGGUCUUCGGAUCGUAAAACUCUGUUAUCAGGGAAGAACAAAUGUGUAAGUAACUGUGCACAUCUUGACGGUACCUGAUCAGAAAGCCACGGCUAACUACGU
Molecule: ribosomal RNA, 496 nt
Filed under: uncultured bacterium
Lineage: Bacteria
Description: partial 16S ribosomal RNA
Rfam family: Bacterial small subunit ribosomal RNA
Source: RNAcentral